CAGUCGCCGCGGUAAUACGAAGGGUGCAAGCGUUACUCGGAAUUACUGGGCGUAAAGCGUGCGUAGGUGGUGGUUUAAGUCCGUUGUGAAAGCCCUGGGCCCAACCUGUGAAUGGCAAUGGAUACUGGCGAGCUAGAGUGUGUCAGAGGAUGGUGGAAUUCCCGGUGUAGCGGUGAAAUGUGUAGAGAUCGGGAGGAAUAUCAGUGGCGAAGGCGGCCAUCUGGGCCGAUAUUGACGCUGAGGAGCGAAAGCGUGGGGAGCAAACAGGAUUAGAUACCCGCGUAGUCCCUGUCUCUUAUAC
Molecule: ribosomal RNA, 301 nt
Filed under: uncultured bacterium
Lineage: Bacteria
Description: partial 16S ribosomal RNA
Rfam family: Bacterial small subunit ribosomal RNA
Source: RNAcentral